UGGGGGAUAUUGCACAAUGGGCGCAAGCCUGAUGCAGCGACGCCGCGUGAGGGAAGAAGGUUUUCGGAUUGUAAACCUCUGUCUUCAGGGACGAUAAUGACGGUACCUGAGGAGGAAGCCACGGCUAACUACGUGCCAGCAGCCGCGGUAAUACGUAGGUGGCAAGCGUUGUCCGGAAUUACUGGGUGUAAAGGGAGCGUAGGCGGGAAUGCAAGUCAAGUGUGAAAUCUACCGGCUCAACUGGUAGCUGCGCUUGAAACUGUGUUUCUUGAGUGAAGUAGAGGCAGGCGGAAUUCCUAGUGUAGCGGUGAAAUGCGUAGAUAUUAGGAGGAACACCAGUGGCGAAGGCGGCCUGCUGGGCUUUUACUGACGCUGAGGCUCGAAAGUGUGGGUAGCAAACAGG
Molecule: ribosomal RNA, 403 nt
Filed under: uncultured bacterium
Lineage: Bacteria
Description: bacterial SSU rRNA
Rfam family: Bacterial small subunit ribosomal RNA
Source: RNAcentral